This 433-nucleotide ribosomal RNA is filed under the name uncultured bacterium. RNAcentral describes it as "bacterial SSU rRNA". It matches the Rfam family "Bacterial small subunit ribosomal RNA", at positions 29 to 507 of the family's 1533-position model. The record is from RNAcentral.
AACGAACGCUGGCGGCAUGCCUAACACAUGCAAGUCGAACGAACCCUUCGGGGUGAGUGGCGCACGGGUGCGUAACGCGUGGGAACCUGCCCUUAGGUUCGGAAUAACAGUGAGAAAUCGCUGCUAAUACCGGAUAAUGUCUUCGGACCAAAGAUUUAUCGCCUUUGGAUGGGCCCGCGUUGGAUUAGCUAGUUGGUGGGGUAAAGGCUCACCAAGGCGACGAUCCAUAGCUGGUCUUAGAGGAUGAUCAGCCACACUGGGACUGAGACACGGCCCAGACUCCUACGGGAGGCAGCAGUGGGGAAUCUUAGACAAUGGGCGCAAGCCUGAUCUAGCCAUGCCGCGUGAGCGAUGAAGGCCUUAGGGUUGUAAAGCUCUUUCGUGGGGGAAGAUAAUGACUGUACCCCAAGAAGAAGCCCCGGCUAACUCCGUG